Molecule: long non-coding RNA, 184 nt
Organism: Homo sapiens (human)
Lineage: Eukaryota; Metazoa; Chordata; Mammalia; Primates; Hominidae
Source: Ensembl
ACAUUCUGCUCAGCCCCUGGCUCCUCGGAAAUCAGCAACUUUCAAUUAAGGGAAGUGGAGAGUGCAUGUGUUUGGGUGACUUCAUACACAGUUCUUCCUGUAAUGAAUUCGGAAAUCAGACACAAUGACUGGUAUUUGAAAGGUGGGAUGACUUCAUUUUAAUAAAGAGAAUUCACCAACAGCA